This 2919-nucleotide ribosomal RNA is filed under the name Serratia symbiotica. Its description in RNAcentral is "bacterial LSU rRNA". It matches the Rfam family "Bacterial large subunit ribosomal RNA". Lineage: Bacteria; Pseudomonadati; Pseudomonadota; Gammaproteobacteria; Enterobacterales; Yersiniaceae. The record is from RNAcentral.
GGUUAAGUGAAUAAGCGUAUACGGUGGAUGCCUAGGCAGUCAGAGGCGAUGAAGGGCGUGCUAAUCUGCGAAAAGCGUCGGUAAGGUGAUAUGAACCGUUUUACCCGGCGAUUCCCUAAUGGGGAAACCCAAUGUAAUAUGUUACAUUAUCAUUAAGUAAAUAAAAUAGCUUAAUGAGGCGAACCAAGGGAACUGAAACAUCUAAGUACCUUGAGGAAAAGAAAUCAACCGAGAUCCCCUUAGUAGUGGCGAGCGAACGGGGGUUAGCCCAGAAUUAUAAUCGAUUAUUAUAUUAGUGGAAACGUUUGGAAAAUCGUGCAGUAUAAGGUGAAAGCCCUGUACAUUAAAAUAUAUUAAUCGUGAAUUCAAUGAGUAGGACGGGACACGUGAUAUCCUGUUUGAAUAUAGGGGGACCAUCCUCUAAGGCUAAAUACUACUGACUGACCGAUAGUGAACUAGUACCGUGAGGGAAAGGUGAAAAGAACCCCGGUAAGGGGAGUGAAAUAGAACCUAAAACCGUAUACGUACAAGCAGUAGGAGCAUUGUUUUAUAAAUGUGACUGCGUACCUUUUGUAUAAUGGGUCAGCGACUUAUAUUUUGUAGCAAGGUUAACUAAAUAAGGGAGCCGUAGGGAAACCGAGUCUUAACUGGGCGAAUAUAGUUUCAAGGUAUAGACCCGAAACCCGGUGAUCUAGCCAUGAGCAGGUUGAAGAGUGGGUAAUUCUAUUUGGAGGACCGAACCGACUAAUGUUGAAAAAUUAGCGGAUGACUUGUGGUUAGGGGUGAAAGGCCAAUCAAACCGGGAGAUAGCUGGUUCUCCCCGAAAGCUAUUUAGGUAGCGCCUCAUGAAUUCAUCUUCGGGGGUAGAGCACUGUUUCGGUUAGGGGGCCAUACCGGCUUACCAAUCCGAUGCAAACUACGAAUACCGAAGAAUGUUAUCAUGGGAGACACACGGCGGGUGCUAACGUUCGUCGUGAAGAGGGAAACAACCCAGACCGCCAGCUAAGGUCCCAAAGUCAUGAUUAAGUGGAAAACGAUGUGGGAAGGCAUAGACAGCCAGGAUGUUGGCUUAGAAGCAGCCAUCAUUUAAAGAAAGCGUAAGAGCUCACUGGUCGAGUCGGCUUGCGCGGAAGAUGUAACGGGGCUAAAUCAUGCACCGAAGCUGCGGCAUUGAUGAUAUUUUAUAUCAAUGGGUAGGGGAGCGUUCUGUAAGCCAUUGAAGGUAUUUUGUAAAAAAUACUGGAGGUAUCAGAAGUGCGAAUGCUGACAUAAGUAACGAUAAAGCAGGUGAAAAACCUGCUCGCCGAAAGACUAAGGGUUCCUGUCCAACGUUAAUCGGGGCAGGGUGAGUCGAUCCCUAAGGUGAGGCUGAAAAGCGUAAUCGAUGGAUAACGGGUUAAUAUUCCUGUACUAUAUAUAACUGCGAAGGGGGGACGGAGAAGGCUAGGCUAGCUAGGCGACGGUUGUCCUGGUUUAAGCAGGUAAGGGGGUAUUUUUGGUAAAUCCGAAAUAUUAUUAAACCCUGAGAAGUAAUGACGAUGCAUUACGGUGCAGAAGUAGUUGAUGCCAUACUUCCAAGAAAAGCCUCUAAGCAUCAGGUUAUAUGUAAUCGUACCCCAAACCAACACAGGUAGUUAGGUAGAGAAUACUAAGGCGCUUGAGAGAACUCGGGUGAAGGAACUAGGCAAAAUAGUGCCGUAACUUCGGGAGAAGGCACGCUGGUGAGUAGGUGAUAUUCUUUUCGAAUUUAGCUGAGACCAGUCGCAGAGACCAGCUGGCUGCAACUGUUUAAUAAAAACACAGCACUGUGCUAACACGAAAGUGGACGUAUACGGUGUGACGCCUGCCCGGUGCUGGAAGGUUAAUUGAUGGAGUUAGCGUUUAUUCGCAAAGCUCUUGAUCGAAGCCCCAGUAAACGGCGGCCGUAACUAUAACGGUCCUAAGGUAGCGAAAUUCCUUGUCGGGUAAGUUCCGACCUGCACGAAUGGCGUAAUGAUGGCCAGGCUGUCUCCACCCGAGACUCAGUGAAAUUGAAUUUGCUGUGAAGAUGCAGUGUACCCGCGACAAGACGGAAAGACCCCGUGAACCUUUACUAUAGCUUGAUACUGAAUAUUGAGUUUUAUUGUGUAGGAUAGGUGGGAGAUUAUGAAGUAUAGACGCUAGUUUAUAUGGAGUCAAACUUGAAAUACCACUCUUUAAUAUUUGAUGUUCUAACUUUGUUCCGUUAUCCGGAACAAGGACAGUGUCUGGUGGGUAGUUUGACUGGGGCGGUCUCCUCCUAAAGUGUAACGGAGGAGUACGAAGGUUAGCUAAUCACGGUCGGAAAUCGUGAGAUUAGUGCAAAGGCAUAAGCUAGCUUGACUGCGAGAGUGACGGCUCGAGCAGGUACGAAAGUAGGUCUUAGUGAUCCGGUGGUUCUGAAUGGAAGGGCCAUCGCUCAACGGAUAAAAGGUACUCCGGGGAUAACAGGCUGAUACCGCCCAAGAGUUCAUAUCGACGGCGGUGUUUGGCACCUCGAUGUCGGCUCAUCACAUCCUGGGGCUGUAGUAGGUCCCAAGGGUAUGGCUGUUCGCCAUUUAAAGUGGUACGCGAGCUGGGUUUAGAACGUCGUGAGACAGUUCGGUCCCUAUCUGUCGUGGGCGUUGGAAGAUUGAGAGGAGUUGCUCCUAGUACGAGAGGACCGGAGUGAAUGCACCGCUGGUGUUCAGGUUGUCAUGCCAAUGGCAUUGCCUGGUAGCUAUGUGUGGAAAAGAUAAGCGCUGAAAGCAUCUAAGUGCGAAGCUUGCCUCAAGAUAAGUCUUCCCUGAGUCUAAAAGACUCCUAAAGGCACGUUUAAGACAAAGACGUAGAUAGGCUGGGUGUGUAAGUAUAGUAAUAUAUUAAGCUAACCAGUACUAAUAAGCCGUGAGGCUUAACCUU